CCUACGGGAGGCAGCAGUGGGGAAUAUUGCACAAUGGGGGCAACCCUGAUGCAGCGACGCCGCGUGAAUGAAGAAGUCAUUCGUUAUGUAAAGCUCUAUCAGCAGGGAAGAAAAUGACGGUACCUGUGUACGAAGCGCUGGCUAACUACGUGCCAGCAGCCGCGGUAAUACGUAGGGGGCAAGCGUUAUCCGGAUUUACUGGGUGUAAAGGGAGUGUAGACGGCAGUGCAAGUCUGGUGUGAAAGGCGGGGGCUCAACCCGCGGAUUGCACUGGAAACUGUACGGCUGGAGUACAGGAGAGGUAAGUGGAAUUCCUGGUGUAGCGGUGAAAUGCGUAGAUAUGAGGAGGAACACCAGUGGCGAAGGCGGCUUACUGGACUGUAACUGACGUUGAGGCUCGAAAGCGUGGGGAGCAAACAGGAUUAGAUACCCGUGUAGUC
Molecule: ribosomal RNA, 440 nt
Filed under: uncultured bacterium
Lineage: Bacteria
Description: partial 16S ribosomal RNA
Rfam family: Bacterial small subunit ribosomal RNA
Source: RNAcentral